CUUUGGGAUAACCCUCGGAAACGGGGGCUAAUACCGGAUAUGACCUCCUGUCGCAUGGCGGGGGGUGGAAAGUUUUUCGGCCUGGGAUGGGCUCGCGGCCUAUCAGCUUGUUGGUGGGGUGAUGGCCUACCAAGGCGGCGACGGGUAGCCGGCCUGAGAGGGCGACCGGCCACACUGGGACUGAGACACGGCCCAGACUCCUACGGGAGGCAGCAGUGGGGAAUAUUGCACAAUGGGCGGAAGCCUGAUGCAGCGACGCCGCGUGAGGGAUGACGGCCUUCGGGUUGUAAACCUCUUUCAGCAGGGACGAAGCGCAAGUGACGGUACCUGCAGAAGAAGCGCCGGCCAACUACGUGCCAGCAGCCGCGGUAAGACGUAGGGCGCGAGCGUUGUCCGGAUUUAUUGGGCGUAAAGAGCUCGUAGGCGGCUUGUCGCGUCGACCGUGAAAACUUGGGGCUCAGCCCCAAGCCUGCGGUCGAUACGGGCAGGCUAGGGUUCGGUAGGGGAGACUGGAAUUCCUGGUGUAGCGGUGAAAUGCGCAGAUAUCAGGAGGAACACCGGUGGCGAGGGCGGGUCUCUGGGCCGAUACUGACGCUGAGGAGCGAAAGCGUGGGGAACGAACAGGAUUAGAUACCCUGGUAGUCCACGCUGUAAACGUUGGGCGC
RNAcentral lists this ribosomal RNA (665 nucleotides) under uncultured Micromonosporaceae bacterium. Its description in RNAcentral is "bacterial SSU rRNA". It matches the Rfam family "Bacterial small subunit ribosomal RNA", at positions 136 to 816 of the family's 1533-position model. Lineage: Bacteria; Bacillati; Actinomycetota; Actinomycetes; Micromonosporales; Micromonosporaceae. The record is from RNAcentral.